AAAUAGCCUACAUAUUUUAUUUCCAUAUUCUGCUUUUCUCUCACACACAUUAUUGGUGGGGCUAUUUUUAUUCUAAAAAAAACCUCCCAUAAAUUAUUAUUUUUUUUCUGAAUGCAUUAGUGGACAUAUCUACAAUGACACACUACCUCUUUCCCAGACUGCAAUACCCAUGUUAUGUUCUCAGCUGCCAGCUUAUGUAAUUUAUUGUAUAUCUUGGUGUAAAUAUU
This is a non-coding RNA of Pelobates cultripes (western spadefoot toad), 227 nucleotides long. The record is from the annotation of a GenBank genome assembly. NCBI's taxonomy places the organism in Eukaryota, Metazoa, Chordata, Amphibia, Anura, Pelobatidae.